ACGAAAGUCUGACGGAGCAACGCCGCGUGAGUGAUGACGGCCUUCGGGUUGUAAAGCUCUGUUAAUCGGGACGAAAGGUACUCUUGCGAAUAGUUAGAGGAAUUGACGGUACCGGAAUAGAAAGCCACGGCUAACUACGUGCCAGCAGCCGCGGUAAUACGUAGGUGGCAAGCGUUGUCCGGAAUUAUUGGGCGUAAAGCGCGCGCAGGCGGAUUAGUCAGUCUGUCUUAAAAGUUCGGGGCUUAACCCCGUGAUGGGAUGGAAACUGCUGAUCUAGAGUAUCGGAGAGGAAAGUGGAAUUCCUAGUGUAGCGGUGAAAUGCGUAGAUAUUAGGAAGAACACCAGUGGCGAAGGCGACUUUCUGGACGAAAACUGACGCUGAGGCGCGAAAGCCAGGGGAGCG
Molecule: ribosomal RNA, 403 nt
Filed under: uncultured bacterium
Lineage: Bacteria
Description: bacterial SSU rRNA
Rfam family: Bacterial small subunit ribosomal RNA
Source: RNAcentral